GAUUUCUUCAAACUUUUCAAAAAUUUGGAAUUAUACAUAAUUCACAAGUAGUGUAAAGGACAUACCCAACAUUGUAUGUUAAAUGUUUUUGAGUUACCUCCCUUAUUGACCCUUACACUGCUUUUCAAUUGUCUUAAUUGACCAUUUACCAGAAAAACCUAGUUUUUCCCCUUUUUUUGCCCCCAAUUCCUAAACAUUUUGAGCCAUAAUCCCACCCCACCACCCCAAACAAUACUUACCAUACCUUUAUGGUAUGGAAACUUAUGGUAUAAUUUCAAAGAGAUUCAUACACUUAAACUUAAAGUUAUUGUUUGAAAACUACAAAAAUGCUUAUGUUGGGCCCCUUAUUCCUAACUUAUUGGGACCAUAACUCCCAAAAUCAAUCGCAACCUUCCUUUAGUGGUAUUGAACCUUCUGGUAAAAAUGUAUAGCAAUCCAUUCACUUAAACUAAAGUUUUUGUCCGGAAACUAAAUGUCUUCAGAUGGCAACAUGAUAGCAUUAUAUGACGCAAAAAACAUUUGGGGUCGUAUAAAAAAUGUAUUUUGGGGAGGAAUUUUAUUGCAAAUUACACAUAUAAGUAUAUAACAGAAUAGGCAGAUGCAGGGGGGUCUGUGUGGGGAAAAUUUAAUUGAUUAUAAAGGGAAUCACUGAAGCAUGACUGGAGCAGGGGCCCCCUUAGGUCUUGUAGGUCAGUCAGCAGGUCUUUUAUUGUCCUGAUUUGAAGAAGUUUUUUUUUAAUCAGAUAGGCAUGAAGACUUAUAAACACUUGAUACUUCAAUUUCUCUUUUUGAAAACAAGAAAAGAAAAUGCCUACCUACCUACCCACUGUCUCAACCUUUGGGUAGGGUUUGGGCAAACCAAAAUAUUUUUAAUUGUGGCCUGAUCAUGUUAUAUCUUUUGAACAUGGCUGCCGUAUAUAUAAGGUCUCUUCUGAAUUUUUUCUACUUGCAAUUGCCAUGUUUGAAUUUCAAGAAAACAAGAUGAUCAAAUUAUUUUCUCUCUAGACACAAAGACCAUAUAUCAUGUAUAUAGGCAAAUAUAAUGAAAAAAAAACUGUGUUUGAACUUUCAUUAGGAAUAGCUAUAUCUAAAAAAUCACAGAAAAGAUUGCUGUCAGUCUUUUCUGGUUUUUUGUUUGUAAUAAUUGGGUGUUGGUUUUUCAUUUAAAUUAUGUUGAUUGUAAGUGUAGCACUUGUAAUUUUUCAAAAUUCUGACCAAAUUGCGAACUACAGUGAUGGGUUUGUGUAUCUCAGUCUUUAGUUUCUAUUAUGAGUUUUAAUUUGAAUACUGUUGUUUUAAUUUGAUCUUUUUUUAGCCAUGACCUUGCCAGUUUAUCUUCAACUUGCGAGCUUUAAUGUCCCCUUCAUACAUGCAUCUUGAGCUGGAAUAAAUACUCGUCUGUAUGAAUGUGCUUGGAAAAUUUUAAACAAAAAUUCCAUUUAAAAUCUAUCCACUCAAUGAAAACUAAGCUUUUUGAUUAUUUACUAUGUUCACUUCAGUGGUCAGUAUUUGAGUGUAAAAUUGCAGGGUUUCU
This 1534-nucleotide long non-coding RNA is filed under the name Mytilus galloprovincialis (Mediterranean mussel). Lineage: Eukaryota; Metazoa; Mollusca; Bivalvia; Mytilida; Mytilidae. The record is from RNAcentral.